Populus nigra (black poplar) is the source of this 710-nucleotide long non-coding RNA. RefSeq lists it as uncharacterized. The record is from RefSeq and is a predicted model, not a curated record. Lineage: Eukaryota; Viridiplantae; Streptophyta; Magnoliopsida; Malpighiales; Salicaceae. The transcript has 2 exons.
UUUUCUUUAUGGUUUGGUUUCGAUUUGAUUUCAGGGGGUAGAGAGCAUUUCUUCUGGUGGCCGUCGGAAGUCGGAACUAGACAUGAGCUACACCCGAAGAAACAAAAAAUAGAAGAGGACAAUUUGAUCCCUCAGCCACAGCAGAGAUAGAAGAAGCAGAGAGUGGAAACAAGAACAGCAGCUUCAGCUACAUACAGAACCUUGAAGACCAAAUUGUCUAUCAUGUUCAAGUGAAAAUCAAGACCACGUUUCCAUUUGAUACCAGAGAAUUUACAACCGAUCCUUCCCCGUCAUCACCUUCUUCGAUGGCCAUGUCUUCUUUGCCACUACAGACACAAAAACAAAACCUUGCUCUCUCUUUCUCUGUCUCUGUCUCUGGGUAUGUGUUGCCUCUGUUCUGUCGUGUAGAUAAAGUGGCUGACUUGCUCUGUUUCGGACAAGAAGAGCAAAAAAAGACAGGAUUUUGCUGGUCUGGGUUGGAUUGAGGAGGGUGUUCUGGGGGAUUAAAGGGAUUUGAUGGAAGAAUCUUGUAGUGGAAAAUGGUGUUUUCGGUCUUUCCAGCUAGCAAAGACAGGAUCUCAUACUCCUCUCUGUUUUAUAACACUUUUUUUUUCUUUUUUUCCUUUUGUUUUGGCUGAGCGAUGUUUGAAAAUGUGGGCAAUAAUUGUUUUUUAUAUUAAUAGAUUAAAAUAAUAAAUAUUUUGAAAGCA